Molecule: non-coding RNA, 46 nt
Organism: Schistosoma curassoni
Lineage: Eukaryota; Metazoa; Platyhelminthes; Trematoda; Strigeidida; Schistosomatidae
Source: Rfam
AUCUAGCUGACGAGUCUCAAAAUAGGACGAAUCCCGCUUCCUGGAU